CCGCCGACUAUCCACCCAACCAGCAGCCAUCCAACCAUCCAAGCGGUCUCAGCAAUCUCUACCUACCAGUUCAACGGCCCCGACGGACCCAACACAGUCGAGCCGUCAAGCCCAUCCAGUAAACAUGGGGGUUUCUUUUACCAUCGUGAACGAGCGUCAGAAAAUGGAGAUCCUUUCCAAAAACAAACAGACAGGCACACAUCCAAAUCCAACCUUCGUCCCCACCAUCUCAAUCCACUCCUGUCUAUUACAAUGAAGUAAGAGCAAGGGGGAGAUGGUAAGAUUACUACAAAAGAAAUCAAUUCCGUUGCGGAUACUCUCGGUCUGGCCAUGCUACAUACCCGCGCCACAUCUACCCCCGAACUUGCGAGGGCAGGGGAAAGCUUGGGAUGUGCGUGGCCGGAUGACGAGGGGAUGAGGAAGUUCGAUGUGCAGGGAGGCGCUUAAAACACAGAGGGAGUGGAAAUU
RNAcentral lists this unclassified non-coding RNA (468 nucleotides) under Hevea brasiliensis (rubber tree). The record is from RNAcentral. Lineage: Eukaryota; Viridiplantae; Streptophyta; Magnoliopsida; Malpighiales; Euphorbiaceae.